GCCUUAGUAGAGAAUUGGUAGAUCGGCUCCGCUCAAAACGGAGUGUCAUUGUCGGUUCGAGUCCGACCUGAGGCA
Molecule: transfer RNA, 75 nt
Filed under: Xanthomonas phage X1
Lineage: Duplodnaviria; Heunggongvirae; Uroviricota; Caudoviricetes
Description: tRNA-Leu
Rfam family: tRNA
About the family: Transfer RNA (tRNA) molecules are approximately 80 nucleotides in length. Their secondary structure includes four short double-helical elements and three loops (D, anti-codon, and T loops).
Source: RNAcentral